CGUAAUUUGGGAAAGGAGGGAUCCUCGCGCCGAUCUCGCCAGGUCCCCUCUGCCUGGGGCUCUCGGAGCCCGGGCUCCAGACUCCCAGAGCUCAAGGCCCGAGGCCCCGGCGAGCCGCCUCGCGUCCUGCACCCCGCGCCGCCCGCCCUGCCCAUUCAUCCGCCUUCUGCUCUGGGAGCCCCCGCGGACGCCGCAGGUGCCGCGGGUGAUUCAGCGGCUGCCUCCGGAAGGCAGUUUUCACUCAUUCACAAUUUACGCGAUUUUACCCGGAGCGCUCGAGGAAUGCUCUUACCCUGCAGAGCUGGAUGAUGCCAGCCCGAGGGAGGAGGCAGGCGAGAGUGGAGGCAAAUAAGAACACGGAGAACAGUACAAUUUGGAGUCCCGUGCACUCAUCUGCGGCUGGGUCUUCAUCUCGAGCUGCUUGUGCCGGCAGUUCAUUCGCUCACACGGCCGUCUUCACCCUGGGUUAUGGGGAAGCCGAUCCCCUCACCACGUCACCUGAUUUGUGAGUGUUACUUCCCCAGCUGUUUGAUGAUCAUCAGAGUGAUAGACUCUCCUGGAUUGUCUGGGUCAUGGUGCACCUACAAGGCUUGUCAUCAUCACAUCAGCACCUGUCGUCAUAUCACCAGCAUCACCAUCAUAUCAUCACCAUCACCUUCACCAUCAUCUCACCAUCAUCUCACCAUCAUCAUAUAACCAUCAUCAUCACCAUCAUCUCAUCGUCACCAUCAUCACCAUCAAUCACCACCAUCAUUGGUUUGACCCUUCAGCAGGUGUUUGUUGAAUUCUGUACAUAGGACUGAAUGCAGACCCUGUGGGCUAUAAAAGACCUGGUUUCUGCCCCAAGUCUGCCAGGGGUCGGCUCAGACUCAAGCGCAACAGUGAGGGAGAAUGCAGGGCACCCUGCUGCGGAGGAGGGGGAUUUCUCACGUGUCUGGGGGCCUCAGAGUCCAUAGGGAGACAAGGCUGUGGGUGUGGCUGCGUCAUGUCAGGAGCAGGGCUGGGAUCUGGGGAUUCAGCAGUAAACAGACGCGGGCGGGGAGAUGCGCACACGGCCACCCGGGUUGACACGUAGGCAAUAGCAAAUGAGGAACUCCGCAAGGUGCUACCAAACGCCAGAGAGCUGUAAAUGGGGGGGGGGUAACAAGGGGUGCAGGGCCCUGCUUUGGGUGGGGCAGCAGGGGCCCCGGUCUUUGAGAAGCCAACAGCUGAGCUAUGACCCGAACCCACAUCCUGCUCAUGGCUCCUUCACCUCCUGGAUAAAGGGUGGUCCCUUUAGGUGACUGCCCAGGCUCCCGUGACCCGGUCCUGCUGACUCCUCCAGCUCACUUCUGACCCUGACCCUGCCGCCCAGUCUCAGACGUCUCGUGCACCGGGAGCCAAGGCGCCCUGUUCUUCCAGCCCUCCGGGCCUCCGCCUCCUGUCUGGAGUGCUUUCUCUCUCUGGCUGACCUGGUGAACUCCUAAUCAUUCAUCAAGGUCCAACUUGAAGGCAGUUCUUCUGGGAGUCUGUCCCGAUUUCCCAAUGCUUGGCAAGGCGCCUUUUAUAUUGGUGUACUCUUGGAGGUAUUUUUGCACUCAACCAAAAGUAGUGAAAGCCAUGAGAAAUUUCUCCUUUCAUUUUACAAGAAGUCUGGAGGCUGGGCAGUUCUCGGAUUCAUUGGUUCAGGCACAACCAAGUCUUCCCUUGCCAUCUCAGUUGUCAGGGAUGAUUCCCCUCAUGGUUACAAAAGGGUUGCCAGAGCUCCAGGCACAGCUGCCAAUGACAGCCAGAGAAGAAGUUGUAAUCUUUCCUGCCAGUCCCUUCAGAGCAAGCUAGAACAGCCCUGCUCAGUUGCUUCUGGGUUCCUGAUCUUAGGAACUGCUGAGCCAAUAGGCACCUGUUGUCAUAGGCUGCUAAGUUUGGGAUGAUAUUCUUUCCUUUCUUUUUUUAACAUUUAUUUGAAAGGCAAAGUUACAGACAGGGAGGAAAGAGAGCAAGGUUGAAGAUGUCUUCCAUCUGCUUGUUCACUUCCCAAAUGGCCACAAUGGCCGAAGACAUGAGCCUGGAACUCCAUCCAGGUCUCAGACAUGGGUGGCAGGGGCCCAAGCACCUGGGCCAUCUCUGACUUCUUGUCCUCAUUGGUAGGGAGCUGGAUCGGAAGUGCAACAGUCAGUACUUGAACCAGUGUUCACAUAUAGAUGCCGGCAUCCCAGGCUGCGGCUUAGCCGGCUGCCCGGCAGCACCAGCCCUCCUUUGGGGUAAUUUUUAUGUGGCAGUGGCUGACUUAGCACAGCUGGCAAGCAGCAGUGGCUGCCAUGGUGCACCCCCACGGCCCCAGAAUCGCUGUCAGAGCAUCAUGUCCUUGUCUGUUCCCUCUACAGGCUUGCGAGGGCCUUGGUUUUCCACUUGCUUAAGCACAGGGGUCUCAAGCGUGUGAGCAUGCACACGCGUGCAUGUGUGUUUAUGUAUGCUUGCGAUGUGUGUGCACGUGUGCAUGUGUGUGUGUGUUCACCGAUCUGCUGGGCUCUCCCCAGCCUCCAGAGAGCGUCUUAUUGCCUCAGUAUUUCCAGAGUGCGGCACAGGGCUCGGCACGGAGAAUUGGGAAGGGAUCCAUGCAGUGAACAGGAUGCCGGGGCGGGGAAGGAUCCAUGGUUGCCAUGGCAACUGCAGCCUGGAGCGCUCAGAACAGCCCAGGCCACUUAGGGCUGGGAGGUUUCGCCGUGGUUCUAGAAAUGACUUGGGGAGGGGGGAGCAGUUUCUGCUCUGGCAGCCUCAGAAAGAGGGGGCAGAAGCAUGAGGGCCAGUGGGGGAGGUGGGCGGUGCCAGGGCUGCCCAGUGCCCUCCUGGGUACAAAGCCGCCCCCACUUCUAGGUCAUAAGCCGCAACUCCUCCAAGUCUGCCUUUUGUUUGCUGAAGACCUACUAUGUGCCUGUCUCUUGGCUAAGCAUUUUCUGCCCAGCUCUGGUCAGUAAACCCCGGAAGCGCAGGAGCUGCAUCUUUCUUGUCAAGGGCAAUGCUGGACACGUGGGAGGGGCAGGGUGCAUAUUUUGUGGGUGAGUGAAUGAAUGAAUGAAUAAGAUGAGUGAUGCACUCAGUCCUCACAUCAAAUGCAAAAGGAGGUCAGCCACGGGAAGAAUUAGACAAAGGGAGGGCGCGCAGGAUGGGAAAAAGGUUCCAGGCACAGGAAGGAGUAUAUACAAAGGUCCUGGGGUGAGACAAAGCUUGCCAUGGGAGCCCGUGCCUCCCUGGCUCCAUAGAUAGCUUUCAUUAUACCGCAGCUCUCUAGGGUAAGUCGUCUUAUCACCACCACCCUCAGUGUGAGAAGUUCUUCCUGUUCCUUCUAAAGGACUGUGGAAUACAGUGGCUUGAGUGCAGGCUGCCCAGGCUGGGCUUUGCCAUGAAACAGCUGUUUGCCAGAGGUAUUUGCCUCAGUCUCCUCACCUGACAAAUGGGGAUGACAGAGCCUCCCUCAAGUUCUGGUUUGAAUGUGUCUGCUAAAAGUUCUUGUGUUGCAGACUUUCCGCCCAGACCCAUGUGUUAGUGGUAGUAGCAGCGGGGGUUUUGGAUGGGGCCCCGAUGGUGGCGUUCGUGGGUGUAAGGAGAGGAAGAGGGACCCAGCGAGCAGCUGGCUCUGUCUCACUAUGGGAUGCUCUCUGUGAUGCAGCUGGAAGCCCUCAUCAGGUGCCAGCCCUGAAAUCCAGGGUUCCCACACUCUGGAUCUGUGAGCCACAUGCACCUGUAGCCCUUAUAAAUGACCCAGUCUUGGGAAUCUUGUUCUACAGCCGAGAACAGAUCGGGCCGCGGGGUCUGCAGUCGCUAAAUGGACUCGGUGGGGUCAAGUGCUGGGAAUGCGGGGAGCACAGGUGUCCAGGGGCACAGCCAGCCUGCGGGCAGUGAGGACAACGGCGUGGGCGCAGCAGUUCCUCCCCUGGGAGCCCUCUCUUCUGCCCAGCCCCCGCUGGUCCACGCUGACGGGGAAGGAUUUGUCCCUGGCAGGUUCCAGCAGUGAGUGACGGUCUGCUCCACUUCCAGACAAAGCCAAGCGUGGCUGCUUCAGCGGAGCGCGGAGACAAAGCGCUAUUUUAAGGCCUCUGCGGAGCACUGAGGAAGCCGAGGCUGUUCCGGGCCACAAGUCUGGGAAGUCGGGCAGCCUGUGGGGCUGGACGGGAGCACGGGGGCCCCUAGUGGACCCACAGAGGGACCAGGGAAGCCGGGGUCAGGGAGGCAGUCCGGGAUCCCCUGCAUGGGCCUCUGUAGGGGGCGAGGGAAUGUGUAGGAGCCCAUUCAGCCCAGGCUCCUGGUACAGGUGACAAAGCAGGCGGGGAGGCGGCGGGGGCGGAGCCAUCGCAAACAUUUUCUGUUUCCGCUUGUUUCCAGGAAUCACUGGAUCAGGUGGUUAAGUGAGGUAUGGCCCAUCCAUGCUGUGGUCUCCGUAGAGUUUCGAAAGGACACAAAAGAACUGUGGGACCAACUUGGCUGUUCUAAGUCUUGUUGAGAGAAAACAAAGUUGCUGACGAAUGUGCACAGAUCGUACUUGUUAAAAAACAAAAGCAAGCCAAGAUUUCCUAUUUCAGUGAGUAGAUCAAGGCCUGGAGAAAGUUCUGGAAGGAUGUUUGGCAAUUAGAGCUGGAGAGUCACCUUCCAGCGGGGCUGGGAGAGGGACAGCAUAGGCAGGGGGACCCCAACUUUAUCAGGACUGUUUGAAUUGAUAAGAGAAUCUCCAUGCGUUACUGAUGUCAUUAAAACAGAGCACGUCACAUUUUAAAAAAGAAUCACUGUUAAAAGGCUGGUUUGCCUGUGGGCUUAGAUUUGUCCCGAAAGCCUUCAUCUCCUGGGUCUCACACUCCAGGAAAGCCUGGCCUCUCCUCUCGGCAGCCCCCCACCGCCCCCAGCCCGCACCGUGCACUGGAUUUGUCAAGUACGGAAAAAAGAUGGAAAUGUGGCUGACAAGACGCCCACCCAGCUCCCUUUGUCUCAGGAAAUCCCCCAGGCCUGGGGGCAAGGCCUGUGGGGGGCACACAGGUGGUCAGGAGCAGCGGGGGCCCUGUGCUUCUGUAGAGUUUGCACCUGUCUGUCCGCUUCUUCUGUCCCCUGCUCUCCACCUUGAGCACAGCCCUUCUCGCGAGCACGCACAGCGUCACUGUUUCGCGGUGAUAAUGGAUUUGCUAUUUUUUUCAGAAUCAAUUUAUAGGAGCAUUCUCCUGGGGGACGAGGAAGAAAAGGGGGACCCUGCAAGUGGGGCCACAGUCCAUUGAACAGCCCCACCCCAUCCCCAAAGGCAGGUGCAGUCAGCGGAGGAAGAACCUUACUGACCCCGAGGCAUUUGCAGUCCUCCCUGGUAUCUGUCAUCCGAAGGGAGUUGGUGCCUCCACCCCACCCCACCCCACCCAGAUGGUGCUUAUUUAUUUGAAAGGCAGAGUGACACAGAGACGGAGGGAGGGAGGUGGGGUGCACGUUAGCAAGGAGCUGGAUCAGAAAGCAGAGCAGCCAGGACUGGAGCAGGUGCUCAGCUAUGGGUUGCUGGCAUGGUGGUGGCGGUUUAACCUGCUAUAGCACAAUGCUGACCCCAGGUCCUCUGGUGUCUUACAUAAGAUGAUUUGGGAUCCGCAUAUAACCUACACGGUUGCUCCUGUCUGCAGCCACGCCCUGCAUAGCGGCAUGUGGUCAGUGAGGGACGCAUGGAGAGUGAUGGGUCUGUGAGUGGCUGUGUUUGGGCAAGUGCGCCUCAUCGUGUUCACACAAUGGCAAAGCCACCUAGGGACACAUUGGUCACCCAUAUCAAGGCAGGCAGGACUGGACUUUCAGUGGUCUCCAGAUGAGUGACAGUGUGGAUGCCGUGUGAGUAUCUGUUACGCUGUAUUGUUUAGGGAAUGACGAUAAGAAAAAUAAGUCUAUAUGUUCUGCAGAACUGCAACAUUUUGGGAAUAUUUUUGAUCUGCAGUGGGUUGUAUCCAUGGAUACGGACCAACUGUAAAUGGAAUUGUGUGUACUCCUAAACAGUAUCGUCUUGUUGAGCUGCAGGCUGCUGUACCAUGGGUGACCGCAGUGUGAUGGGGCUGAGCCCAGCAACCCCCGGGGGUGGCUGCCUUCACGAGGGCCUCGCUCUGACUGCCUGGCUUCCUGUCCGGGCACCAACACUUGACCAGCACUGGUCUGGUGUGGUUGCACAUCAGACGCCCCAAUACUGCCUCUGUUCCUAUGGGUGCCUCAAAGUGGGUGGGGGCAGCCCAGGAGGUUCGAGCCUUGUGGGGUGGAGAGAGACAAGAGAGAAGAGGGGAACAGAGUGGAGGGGAGAGGGGAUGACUGGGACUCCUGAGUGUCCUGGGGAAGAAGUGGCAAGUGCUGACACAGGGGUCCUUGGUGGAGUGGCCUCUUCAGGGGCUCCCCAAGCAGGAGGCCUGUGGAUGUCCCAGCUAUGAUGAGAAGCUGUGUCUGGUGGUAGCUUCUGGGAAGGGGAGACACCACCUUUCAAUAGGAAGGGGCGGGGCCCGCGCUGUGGCGCAGCAGAUUAAUGCCCUGGCCUGAAGCACCGGCAUCCCAAAUGGGGGCCGGUUCUAGUCCCGGCUGCUCCUUUUCCAGUCCAACUCUCUGCUAUGGCCUGGGAAAGCAGUGGAAGAUGGUCCAAGUCCUUGGGCCCCUGCACCUGCGUGGGAGACCUGGAAGAAGCUUCUGGAUCCUGGCUUCGGAUCGGCGCAGCUCUGGCCAUUGCAACCAUCUGGGGAGUGAACCAUCAGACGGAAGACCUCUCUCUCUCUCUGCCUUUCCUCUCUCUGUGUAACUCUGACUUUCAAAUAAUAAAUAAAUAAAUCUUUAAAAAAUAAAUAAGGAGGGGCCUCUUGGCCAAAGGAAAUAGGAAACCCACUUAUCUUCCCUCUCUGUGUCCUGUGAACAUGACAGAAGGCCGCUGUUGUUUGCGACUAAGCUCCUACACUGGGUGCAACAGAUCAGACCAAAAACCAAAAUGGAGUGACUCAGGCUAAAGAUGCAUGUCACCAAGCACCUUCUGAAAAAUUGGGAGAGAGAGAAAAGCCAGAUUUGCCAAAUGGGCCAGUUUCAAGGGCGCCACGGUGGGGUUCCCUCCACCAGCCCUUACACAGAAGGGUAACUGGAAGUGAGCUGGUGCUGGUGCUAACCGGACACCUGUUUCCCUACUGUCCUGUAGCGCUGUCCCCACCCUACAAGGAAAGCCAGUUUGAAAGGACCCCGCCCCUUUUGCUCUUUGCUUCUACUUUCUUUUCUUUUAUAUUUAUUUAUUUAUUUAUUUUGACAGGCAGAGUGGAC
Oryctolagus cuniculus (rabbit) is the source of this 7263-nucleotide non-coding RNA. The record is from RefSeq and is a predicted model, not a curated record. Lineage: Eukaryota; Metazoa; Chordata; Mammalia; Lagomorpha; Leporidae.